AGGGUUCGAUUCUGGCUCAGGAUGAACGCUAGCUACAGGCUUAACACAUGCAAGUCGAGGGGCAGCGAGAGGAAAGCUUGCUUCCUUGUCGGCGACCGGCGCACGGGUGAGUAACGCGUAUCCAACCUUCCCCUUAGUAGGGCAUAGCCCGGCGAAAGUCGGAUUAAUACCCUAUGUUUUCCAAUGAGGACAUCUGAGCUGGAACAAAGAUUUAUCGCUAAGGGAUGGGGAUGCGUCUGAUUAGGUAGUCGGCGGGGUAACGGCCCACCGAGCCUACGAUCAGUAGGGGUUCUGAGAGGAAGGUCCCCCACAUUGGUACUGAGACACGGACCAAACUCCUACGGGAGGCAGCAGUGAGGAAUAUUGGUCAAUGGGCGCGAGCCUGAACCAGCCAAGUAGCGUGCAGGAUGACUGCCCUAUGGGUUGUAAACUGCUUUUAUACGGGGAUAAAGUGAGGUAUGCAUACCUUUUUGUAGGUACCGUAUGAAUAAGGACCGGCUAAUUCCGUGCCAGCCGCAGC
Molecule: ribosomal RNA, 520 nt
Filed under: uncultured bacterium
Lineage: Bacteria
Description: bacterial SSU rRNA
Rfam family: Bacterial small subunit ribosomal RNA
Source: RNAcentral